Molecule: ribosomal RNA, 483 nt
Filed under: uncultured bacterium
Lineage: Bacteria
Description: partial 16S ribosomal RNA
Rfam family: Bacterial small subunit ribosomal RNA
Source: RNAcentral
GACGAACGCUGGCGGCGUGCUUAACACAUGCAAGUCGAACGCUGAAGCUCAGCUUUUGUUGGGUGGAUGAGUGGCGAAAGGGUGAGUAACACGUGAGUAACCUGCCUCCUUCUUUGGGAUAACGCCCGGAAACGGGUGCUAAUACUGGAUAUUCACUGGUCUUCGCAUGGGGGUUGGUGGAAAGGGUUUUUCUGGUGGGGGAUGGGCUCGCGGCCUAUCAGCUUGUUGGUGGGGUGAUGGCCUACCAAGGCUUUGACGGGUAGCCGGCCUGAGAGGGUGACCGGUCACAGUGGGACUGAGAUACGGCCCAGACUCCUACGGGAGGCAGAAGUGGGGAAUAUUGCACAAUGGGGGCAAGCCUGAUGCAGCGACGCCGCGUGAGGGAUGGAGGCCCUCGGGUUGUGAACCUCUUUCGCUCAUGGUCAAGCCGCAACAAUGGUUGUGGUGAGGGUAGUGGGUAAAGAAGCGCCGGCUAACUACGUG